Molecule: long non-coding RNA, 4284 nt
Filed under: Homo sapiens (human)
Lineage: Eukaryota; Metazoa; Chordata; Mammalia; Primates; Hominidae
Description: PREDICTED lncRNA (TCONS_00089186)
Source: RNAcentral
GAUGACAAAUCCCUGUGAGGCGUGCGGUUGUAGAGACGCAGAGGAAAGGGUGCACAGGAGGCAUUUUAAGGUGGAGUCAGCAGGACCCAGAGGCUGAUCAAAUGAGGGAGUGAAAGGAGAACAGAAGGGUCUGGGAAGCAGAUUUGCUAAGGUUUCUCAGUGAUGCCCAUGAGGAAAGAUGGGAGAAAUAUGGAUUGGCUGCGAGAAUGGAGUAAAUAUUGUACAGCAUCUUCUCCCAGCCCUCAAGUGACUGUAGACUGCGCUGUCUGAAGCAUGUGUUUCAGAAAAGGAAGGUGACAGCCUCAUUCAGUUUUGUGCUGGUUAAAUGGCAAUGGAUUAUUGCUUUUGCUUGUGGACACAAGAGCAACAUGGAGACAUGGAAGCACGUUCAGACGAGAGCAAGCGUGACAGUGAAGAGGCUAGAGUCACCUGAUUCCAACAUCGUCAUCACCACCAUCUGUUGGGCGCUUACAUCUCACAAAAUCAUCUCACAGCCUAUGCAGCAGUCAUUUCCAUUCCCACCUUACCUACGAGGAAACUGAGCCUCAGGGGAUGACAUCACUGUAACACUACUGCUUCUGGCUCCACGGUUUUCAUGAGGGAAGACAUACCCAAACCCAUGCUCUUUCCACCCCUCCUUACUGUGUCCUAAACCUCACCAUCUGAGGGACUGUUGAGGGAUGUGGGGAUCCUUACGUUUCAGUUGGAAUCAGACUCUGCCCCGUGCCCUGUCUCUGAGGUCCAAUUUACUUUGUCCUGUCUCUGCUAUACCUUACUCUCCUUACUCCAGCUGGACACAAGUUCUGGAUCUCUUGUACCAAAUCAGACCUCCCCAACUCAUGUCUUCUACCGAAACAGACCUCCCUGAUUCGUGAUCCUGACAUCCACUGGCAUUGUGAGGGGCUACUGCCUAGGACACCGUGACCACAUCCUAUUUAUCACUUUACCUCCUCCCCAGGACACAGUUUUCCUAGACCACUUCUGUUAUCCAACCUCACUUAGACCAGGGCUAUACAGUUAUGACAAUCCAACUUGUUUAGCAAGAAGACAGAUUUAGCAUUUCGGGUGGCUCCUGGGCUGGACAGGCAGAGCUGGGGCCUGGAUAAGAAAUGGAUCCCCCCAGGAGAGACACAGGGACCAGUUCCUAGGUGCUCAGAGAAACCGGAGCGGAAGAGUUGAUCCACUGGGAUCAACUUAUAGGGUUCGGUGGCUGACUGGACAUAGUUUCUAAGGAAGAAAUGGGAAUCUGGUUUAGAGAUAGAGGAGACUAUUGGUUCUUUUCAGGUUGAUGGUAGAAGAAUUAUGAAAGCUGCUUCAGGGAAACACAGAUCUUCCCUUUCCUGUUACAUACUCAUUCCUAAAGAAUCCUAGUUUAGGGCCUGGGAGAUUGGACACAUAGUUAACAGAGACACAAGACUUGUAACCCAGGAGUCUGGUGGUUCCCACUAUGUGUGAGUCUGUUUUUGAGCCAGCAUAACAUUAAAGUAGACUCAGCCUCUUUUGGCUCUACCCCCAAAGAAUCUGCUGUCCCCAAAGGCAUUGUUUAGAGGCAGGCGACAAAGUACAAAAUUCUUAGGGGUGGUGAAGGAAUUUAUAGAGCUGCCUCUGAGAACACUUGCUCAAAUCAGGAUCGAUGUGCAUGUUCCCUGGUGUUCUCGCCCUGCCCCAGCCUGUCACUGGCAGGCACUGUCUCUCCAUUCUUCCCACCCCAGCCUGGCCUCUCUUGUGCCGAGUAAUCCUGCUCUGCCUGACACGUGCUUUUCCAUGCUCAGCGAAGCAAGGCCGUUGACAGGCCCAGCCUCCUUGGGAGAUGGUUUAAUGUGUUGCUUUUGCUACUCAACAAUGCCCUGUGGAGUAUUGCUCACUCCUAUUUGUAUAAACAACCCCCUCAUGUAUCUCUUCCAAGCACGCACAGCAUUCUUUCCCUGGCAGUUUUGGUUGUAACUUUGUCUCUUUCAGUACAGAAGCUGAAGUGGGUGUGGCUGGGAAGGCCUGAAGUUACUGCAGAGCUAGGAUUUGAACCUGGGUUUUGUGACUCCCAGUCUAAUGCUUCUUCCACAGUAUCAGAUGGUGUGGGCUGCAGGUCUCUGCAGGUGAGGGCUUCUGGCUCAGCUGCUGGGGAGUAAGCACCAAGUAGGCACUUGGGCCAGAAAAACCAGGGUUGCUAAGGAAAUCAGAUGAAGGGAGGACAUUCAGAUGAAGAAACAGAUCAUUUCCAAGCAAGAACUAGCAAGAACUCCAGAUUCCUUAUGUGCAUUCAGAUGGUCUUUUUUGAAAGGUAUUUGGGCUUGAAAAGCACAUGUACUUUAUCAGCUGUGUACCUCUGCUAUUGUACAAGGAAAGCCUCAUUCUCUUCUGUCCGGAUACCAUCCUUCAACACCCUACUCAAAUGCCGCCUCCUCCAAGAAGCCUUCUUCCCUCCACUUGGAAGUAAAAUCUGCUUCUCUACUCAUUCCUCUCUCAUGGUCCUCAUCUCAUGCCAUGUUCUGUUCUAGCUGAUAACAUUUACAUAUGUGACUCAGUGGUAUACCUCAUGUAUUUGACACACAGAACGGAUCAUUUUAAUGACCCUCUGCUCUAUAAGACAAAAGUAUUUUCAGUCAUAUUUAUGUAAAAAUCAGCAAUCAUCACUACUUUCUCGAUUUCUUCUUUAGUUAUAAAGCAGUGAACAAUUUUUAAAAAGACAAAUACAUUUUAACUUUAAGAUAUUCAAAUGCAGUAAAAAUAUUUUUCGUAUGAGUCCAAAUUUUUACCUAUCAAACAAGAUGUUACAACUCAUUGUUCACAAUCUGUUUUGUUGCUUUAAAUUUUAAACACAUAUGAGAAGCUUACAGGGGUCACCUAGGAUGAGAGAAUUGAAAUAAUUCAAGUUCUGGUUUUUUGUUUGUACAACCACUACGCUAUCAUUUUUUGUUUCAAAUCUACUGUUUACAUGCAGAAGCAGGUAAUAAGUGCCACUGAGGUUGGAGACAUAAGGACGUCAAAGGAUCUGAACCAUCGCACACUUACUCUUGCAACAAGAACACGCCCCUGAGUCUGUGCAUGUUGGGGCCAAGUGCAUAACCGGGAGUUCUCCAGAUUAAUGUCAAUGUAGAACACAAUAUUUAUGAAAGGAUAAAUAAUAAAGAUGUGAUGAAUUUGAAGCUUACAUAUACUUACUACAUAAAAUCCAACAGUAACCACGGAGAUUGUUUAGAACUUAGGCCAUAAAACCAUUUUUUUCUGGAAAGAGCUUUGCCUUUAUCGCUGAUACUCUUUCUUUUGGGAUGGAGUUUCACUUUGUUGCCCAGGAUGGAGUGCGACGGCGCCAUCUCGGCUCAUUGCAACCUCUGCCUCCCGGGUUCAAGCAAUUCUCCUGCCUCAGCGUACCAAGUAGCUGGGAUUACAGGUGCCCAUGACCAAGCCUGGCUAAUGUUUUGUAUUUUUAGUAGAGAUGGCAUUUUACCAUGUUGGCCAGGCUGGUUUUGAACUCCUAACCUCAGGUGAUCCACCCACCUCGGCCUCCCAAAGUGCUGGGAUUACAGGCGUGAGCCACGGCGCCCGGCUGACAUUCUUUAUAAUUGUGAUAAUGACAGGCAGAUCAGCUUUUGGUUAUAUUUGUAUUUAAAUUCUCCACAGACGGUUGCUCUUUUAUUGAUGGCACAUCCCCCCUCCACCCAGUCCCAUGGCCCCCUAUUCCCUCCCCACCCCACUCCCACCCCAUUUGACUGUAAAUUCCUGCAAGGUGGGGACGGCUGUGCAGCCCCCUGUUGUACAGUGCCCACUGCACAAGCGCAGUGGUUUGCAGGCCAAGGCCCCAGGGAGAUCGCCUUAGGAUGUCCUCCCUUUUCCUCUAUGGGAGGCCAGAUUUUCUUCCUACAUUUCAAACAAAGCAAUACAUCACAACAGACUGAGUACAGAAACAGGUAAGAUAAUCCAGCUGUCUUGGGAAGCCAGAUAUUAGAGAGAUUUGCAACAUUUCUUUGUAAAACAAUGUCACUCUUCUCCAUUUAAAACUUAUUUGGAAAAUACAAGUUAUUUUUCAUAAAAUUACAUUAUAUGUGUUAAUAUGCAAGGGUUUAUUAUCAUUUUAAAAAGUGUUAGCAGAUUUUAAAGAUUUCUCAGUUUUAAUUUCUAAUGAAGGAAAUAUUGAUAUCUCACAUAAUAAACACUGUUUGGGGUCCUCAGUGAUUUUUAAGAGAGGAAACGUGUGAACAGAGUGUGUGAGUUGUACUCAGGCACUGCGUUACGUAUGGCAGGUGCUCAUGUAUGCUUGUGACACUCAUGAGGGACUGACUGAAUAGG